CUUCGUUUUUAAAGCUAGAAUCCUUACUUGCUACCUACAUCACUGACUUAUACAUGAAUUAUAUUUACACCCAUUGAUUCCUGAAGACUAUAACUUAUAAAUGCCUCAUGAGCUUAGUUCAACUGUCGAACCCCAUCAGAACCCAAAAUAUACGUUUUUUUUUACUCACAAUGUUGGUAAACAACGUACAUGUAAACAAACACUAUAUGUCCUCAAAACAUGGUUACAACUAUACUUGAUAACGUAGAUGGGCAGUUCUUGAAUCCAUAGCUCUUACAUUUCUCCAAGCCCAUCCCUCAGCUUUUUUCAACUGGGGAUUCUAGCUUUAAUACUCACUGAGAAUGCAAGCAUUUAUAGGAAGCUACUGUAAAUUAAAUUAACUUUAUUGUGAUGAAGUGCAGAGAUGCCCUGUACAGUAAUUCUGCCCUUAGAACGGACCUUGGUCUUCAGCUAUAUCUGUCUGGGAGAAGGCCUUUUUGAAGGCCUCACUGAAUUCUAGGUUACAGUUCCAUUAUGUGGUUUGAUGCUUUGGUUGAGUUGUAAGGAGGGCUAAUGACUUCGAUAUUCAAUAACUGAAUUUUAUCAGAUGCUCUGAAAAGUAACUCAAUGACUUUGCAAACUGUCAUUCUGUUUGUCUCUUGAUUUCUCACACCUCUCUCGCUCUGUCUGCCUCUAGAUAAAGUAAUGAAGUUACUAUUCUGUACAGCUCCACUCUCUCGCUCUGUCUGCCUCUAGACAAAGUAAUGAAGUUACUCUUCUGUACAGCUCCACUCUCUCGCUCUGUCUGCCUCUAGAUAAAGUAAUGAAGUUACUCUUCUGUACAGCUCCACUCUCUCGCUCUGUCUGCCUCUAGAUAAAGUAAUGAAGUUUCUCUUCUGUGCAGCUCCACUCUCUUGCUCUCUGUCUGCCUCUAGAUACUGGCUGUCAUUGAAAAAUUAUUUGUUCUUAACUGAUUUGCAAAAAACGACUACAAGCAUACCCAUAACAUGACGCAGCCACCACUAUGCUUGAAAAUAUGGAGAGUACUACUCAGUAAUGUGUCAUACUGGAUUUUAAAUGCUUUACCAAAGUUAAAUGCUUUACCACAUUUUUUGCAGUAUUACUUUAGUGCCUUGUUGCAAAACAGGAGACAUGUUUUGGAUUUAAAAAAUGUUGUACAGGGUUCCUUAUUUUCACUCUGUCAAUUAGGUUAGUGUUGUGGAGUACCUACUCUGUUGUUGAUCCAUCCUCAGUUUUCUCCUAUCACAGCCAUUAAACUCUGUAACUAUUUUAAAGUCACCAUUGGUCUCCUGGUGAAAUCUCAGAGUGGUUUCCUGCCUCUCCGGCAACUGAGUUAGGAAGGACACCUGUAUCUUUGUAGUGACUAGGUGUAUUGACACACCAUCCAAAGUGUAAUUAAUAACUUCACCAUGCUCAAAGGGAUAUUCCGUUUCUACUUUUACCCAUCUACCAAUAGGUACUCACUUCUGUCAUCAUGAAGUGCUUUGAGAGACUAGUCAAGGAUCAUAUCACCUCUACCUUACCUGACACCCUAGACCCACUCCAAUUUGCUUACCGCCCCAAUAGAUCCACAGACGAUGCAAUCGCCAUCGCACCGCAAACUGCCCUAUCCCAUUUGGACUAGAGGAAUACCUAUGUAAGAAUGCUGUUCAGAAUGCAUUCAACACCAUAGCACCCUCCAAGCUCAUCAUUAAGCUUGAGGCCCUGGGUCUGCACCCCGCCCUGUUCAACUGGUUCCUGGACUUCCUGACGGGCCACCUCCAGGUGGUGAAGGUAGGAGACACCAACUCCACUUCACUGAUCCUCAACACUGGGGCCUCACAAGGAGGCGUGCUCAACCACCUCCUGUACUCCCUGUUCACCCAUGACUGCUUGGCCUCGCACGCCUCCAACUCAAUUAUCAAGUUUGCAGAUGACACAACAGUAGUAGGCCUGAUUACCAACAAUGACGAGACAGCCUACAGAGAGGAGGUGAGGGCCCUAGGAGUGUGGUGCCAGGAAAAUAACCUCUCAUCCAACGUCAACAAAACAAAGGAGCUGAUCGUGGACUUCAGGAAACAGCAGAGGGAGCACCACCCUAUCCACAUCGACGGGACUGCAGUGGAGAAGGUGAAAAGCUUCAAGUUCUUCGGCGUACACAUCACUGACAAACUGAAAUGGACCACCCACACAGACAGUGUGAUGAAGAAGGCGCAACAGCGAGAGAUUGAAGAAAUUUGGCGUGGCACCUAAAACCCUCACAAAUUUUUACAGAUGCACAUUGAGAGCAUCCUGUCGGGCUGUAUCACCGCCUGGUAUGGCAACUGCACCCCCUGAAACCGCAGGGCUCUCCAGAGGGUUGUGUGGUCUGCCCAACGCAUCACCAGGGGGGCAAACUACCUGCCCUCCUGGACACCUACAGCACUCGAUGUCACAGGAAGGCCAAAAAGAUAAUCAAGGACAACAACCACCCGAGCCACAGCCUAUUGACCCGCGAUCAUCCAGAAGGCGAGGUCAGUACAGGUGCAUCAAAGCUGGGACCGAGAGACUGAAAAACAGCUUCUAUCUCAACUUCUAUCUCAAGGCCACCAGACUGUUAAAUUAGACUAGGCUGCUGCCCUUUAUACAUAGACUUGAAAUCACUGGCCACUUUAAUCAUGGAACACUAGUCACCUUAA
This is a long non-coding RNA of Oncorhynchus tshawytscha (Chinook salmon), 2657 nucleotides long. NCBI's taxonomy places the organism in Eukaryota, Metazoa, Chordata, Actinopteri, Salmoniformes, Salmonidae. The record is from Ensembl.